RNAcentral lists this ribosomal RNA (253 nucleotides) under uncultured bacterium. RNAcentral's name for it is "partial 16S ribosomal RNA". It matches the Rfam family "Bacterial small subunit ribosomal RNA", at positions 524 to 776 of the family's 1533-position model. The record is from RNAcentral.
UACGUAGGGAGCAAGCGUUGUCCGGAAUCAUUGGGCGUAAAGCGCGCGUAGGCGGCCCGAUAAGUCCGCUGUGAAAGUCAACGGCUCAACUGUUGGAUGCCGGUGGAUACUGUCGGGCUAGAGUGCAGAAGGGGCAACUGGAAUUCUCGGUGUAGCGGUGAAAUGCGUAGAUAUCGAGAGGGACACCUGCGGCGAAGGCGGGUUGCUGGGCUGACACUGACGCUGAUGCGCGAAAGCUAGGGGAGCGAACGGG